This 404-nucleotide ribosomal RNA is filed under the name uncultured bacterium. RNAcentral's name for it is "bacterial SSU rRNA". It matches the Rfam family "Bacterial small subunit ribosomal RNA", at positions 29 to 429 of the family's 1533-position model. The record is from RNAcentral.
AGUGAACGCUGGCGGCAGGCCUAACACAUGCAAGUCGAACGGCAGCACAGGGGUAGCAAUACCCUGGGUGGCGAGUGGCGGACGGGUGAGGAAUACGUCGGAAUCUGCCUAUUUGUGGGGGAUAACGUAGGGAAACUUACGCUAAUACCGCAUACGACCUACGGGUGAAAGCGGAGGACCUUCGGGCGUUCGCGCAGAUAGAUGAGCCGACGUCGGAUUAGCUAGUUGGCGGGGUAAAGGCCCACCAAGGCGACGAUCCGUAGCUGGUCUGAGAGGAUGAUCAGCCACACUGGAACUGAGACACGGUCCAGACUCCUACGGGAGGCAGCAGUGGGGAAUAUUGGACAAUGGGCGCAAGCCUGAUCCAGCCAUGCCGCGUGUGUGAAGAAGGCCUCGGUUGUAAG